AACUUGUGAGUGACGAUGAGGUUUCACUUCCUGGUACAGAGCACAAGUGGUCAAAGGAGCCCCGUGAGAGCAGAAGGAACUUUUUCCAAUUACUUUUUUGCCUGACACGACUUCUUCAUCUUCAUAAUGCUUCUGUUGAUCCUUUUUGUUGUGUCUAUGACCUCAUGUGCUGCACAAACAACUGUGGCCAUUUUAGAGGUGAGGGUUCUGUCCCAAAUUGUCUUAAAUGAGAGAGUGGCCCAACCCGUUUUGGACAAGCUCUAUGAAGCCUUCCAGAUGGAAUCUAAUAGGACAUUUGUUCUAACAAUAAAGAUCACAUGAGUUUAAAUUGCGAUUCUUCAGCCAAACCUAACUGCUCUUCCAUCUUGAUUUUUUCCUGGAAUUCAGGGCCUGACGAAAGAAUUUUAAAAAAAAGUCGUGGAACUAAAUAACUAAAGAAUGUUGACUUA
Molecule: long non-coding RNA, 449 nt
Organism: Syngnathus acus (greater pipefish)
Lineage: Eukaryota; Metazoa; Chordata; Actinopteri; Syngnathiformes; Syngnathidae
Exons: 4
Source: RefSeq, a predicted model, not a curated record